RNAcentral lists this ribosomal RNA (247 nucleotides) under uncultured bacterium. RNAcentral describes it as "partial 16S ribosomal RNA". It matches the Rfam family "Bacterial small subunit ribosomal RNA", at positions 524 to 770 of the family's 1533-position model. The record is from RNAcentral.
UACAGAGACUGCAAGCGUUAUUCGGAUUCACUGGGCGUAAAGGGUGCGCAGGCGGUUGGGUGUGUCAGAUGUGAAAUCCCGAGGCUUAACCUCGGAACUGCGUCUGAAACUACUCGACUAGAGUACUGGAGAGGGAAACGGAAUUCACGGUGUAGCAGUGAAAUGCGUAGAUAUCGUGAGGAACACCAGAGGCGAAGGCGGUUUCCUGGACAGUUACUGACGCUCAGGCACGAAAGCAUGGGGAGCA